RNAcentral lists this unclassified non-coding RNA (841 nucleotides) under Athalia rosae (coleseed sawfly). RNAcentral's name for it is "misc RNA ENSAEAG00005008047.1". Lineage: Eukaryota; Metazoa; Arthropoda; Insecta; Hymenoptera; Athaliidae. The record is from RNAcentral.
CUAUCGCGUGACACUCGGUGACAUGCACAAAGUGCAGCGUACUCUACUCUCCGACUGAAAUCCUCAAAAAUUUUCCAAAAGGGCGUACAAGACACAAGGAGUGCCCCGAUUCCAACAGGUUACCUGCAUCUCGAAGGCCUCCAUACAGCUCUGUGCAACAUGGUGCAGCUAUAUAUCAGCUAUUCAAACCAAGGAAAUUACAUUGUACGCUUAGAAGACACAGAUCAAACAGGACUCGUACCAGAUGCUGCCGGUAAACUCCAAGUGAAGCAAAGAGAAUCUUACUGCGUCAGUUUCAAGUUUUUUAUUUCGAAUGCAAGGAUGUUCUAAUCGAAUGAUCGUAGACCAACCCAGAGAAAGAGACUCUAACGAUGAGGUUGUACUGAAGGGAGAAUUGCCACCGCUCCUUCAACUUGCAGAUUCGAUUUGCAAAAUCCUGAGUGGAGGAUGGUAAAACGAUUUCUGUGCGCUAUUCAUCCGGUAUCAGCACUUUCUGACGAGCAUCUCCUUACCUAGAACAGGAAGUGUGCUUACACCUGCAAGUUUAAAAAUUGCAAAAUAAUUAUCAUACACAUGCAUAGCGUCGAAUAGUUGAUGUAUGCGAAUAAGUCUUCAUGUAAUGUAUUCAUAAGUUCUAUUCAUUUGAAUUACUGGGGCAAUAUUGUAUCAUUGAAAUGAACAUUGUACAUCUUGUGAAAGAUAUUGCAAAGUUUUUUAUAAUUAUUUAAAUAAUGUAUGUAUGCUGAAUGUAUUCCUUGCAUAACUCAUGAAUAAAUGAUAGGCUAUUUUCAAACUGAAUACUUGUUUCCUAUUAUUUACACUCCUGGAACCAUCACACAUU